This 497-nucleotide ribosomal RNA is filed under the name uncultured bacterium. RNAcentral describes it as "partial 16S ribosomal RNA". It matches the Rfam family "Bacterial small subunit ribosomal RNA", at positions 28 to 507 of the family's 1533-position model. The record is from RNAcentral.
GAUGAACGCUGGCGGCGUGCCUAAUACAUGCAAGUCGAGCGAACAGACGAGGAGCUUGCUCCUCUGACGUUAGCGGCGGACGGGUGAGUAACACGUGGAUAACCUACCUAUAAGACUGGGAUAACUUCGGGAAACCGGAGCUAAUACCGGAUAAUAUAUUGAACCGCAUGGUUCAAUAGUGAAAGACGGUUUUGCUGUCACUUAUAGAUGGAUCCGCGCCGCAUUAGCUAGUUGGUAAGGUAACGGCUUACCAGGGCAACGAUGCGUAGCCGACCUGUGAGGGUGGUAGGCCACAUGGGAGCUGAGACGGGGUCCAUACGACUGCGGUAGGGAGCAGAAGGGAAUCUUCGGCAGUAGUGGAAAGCCUGGCAGAACGGGGCGAAGUGAGUGAUAAAAGUCUUGGGAUCGGAAUGCCCUAUUAUGGGGUAUAAACAGAUUUGGAAGGAGACGUACAGUGCGUGACGGUACCGAAUCAAAAAGCAACGGCUAACUACGUG